CAGCCGCCGCGGUAAUACCGGCGGCCCGAGUGGCGGUCACUAUUAUUUGGCUUAAAGCGUCCGUAGCCGGGUUGGGAAGUCCUCCGGGAAAUCUGGCCGCUUAACGGUCAGAAUGCCGGAGGAUACUCCCAGCCUAGGGAGCGGGAGAGGCCGAGGGUAUUCCCGGAGUAGGGGUGAAAUCCUAUAAUCCCGGGAGGACCACCUGUGGCGAAGGCGCUCGGCUGGAACGCGUCCGACGGUGAGGGACGAAGGCCAGGGGAGCAAACCGGAUUAGAUACCCGGGUAGUCCUGGCUGUAAACGAUGCGGACUUUGUGUCGGACAAGCUAUGAGCUUGUCCGGUGCCGGAGGGAAACCGUUAAGUCCGCCGCCUGGGGAGUACGGCCGCAAGGUUGAAACUUAAAGGAAUUGGCGGG
This 414-nucleotide ribosomal RNA is filed under the name uncultured microorganism. RNAcentral describes it as "bacterial SSU rRNA". It matches the Rfam family "Archaeal small subunit ribosomal RNA", at positions 459 to 872 of the family's 1478-position model. The record is from RNAcentral.